This 1130-nucleotide ribosomal RNA is filed under the name Escherichia coli. RNAcentral describes it as "partial 23S ribosomal RNA". It matches the Rfam family "Bacterial large subunit ribosomal RNA", at positions 1 to 1172 of the family's 2925-position model. The record is from RNAcentral. Lineage: Bacteria; Pseudomonadati; Pseudomonadota; Gammaproteobacteria; Enterobacterales; Enterobacteriaceae.
GUUAAGCGACUAAGCGUACACGGUGGAUGCCCUGGCAGUCAGAGGCGAUGAAGGACGUGCUAAUCUGCGAUAAGCGUCGGUAAGGUGAUAUGAACCGUUAUAACCGGCGAUUUCCGAAUGGGGAAACCCAGUGUGUUUCGACACACUAUCAUUAACUGAAUCCAUAGGUUAAUGAGGCGAACCGGGGGAACUGAAACAUCUAAGUACCCCGAGGAAAAGAAAUCAACCGAGAUUCCCCCAGUAGCGGCGAGCGAACGGGGAGCAGCCCAGAGCCUGAAUCAGUGUGUGUGUUAGUGGAAGCGUCUGGAAAGGCGCGCGAUACAGGGUGACAGCCCCGUACACAAAAAUGCACAUGCUGUGAGCUCGAUGAGUAGGGCGGGACACGUGGUAUCCUGUCUGAAUAUGGGGGGACCAUCCUCCAAGGCUAAAUACUCCUGACUGACCGAUAGUGAACCAGUACCGUGAGGGAAAGGCGAAAAGAACCCCGGCGAGGGGAGUGAAAAAGAACCUGAAACCGUGUACGUACAAGCAGUGGGAGCACGCUUAGGCGUGUGACUGCGUACCUUUUGUAUAAUGGGUCAGCGACUUAUAUUCUGUAGCAAGGUUAACCGAAUAGGGGAGCCGAAGGGAAACCGAGUCUUAACUGGGCGUUAAGUUGCAGGGUAUAGACCCGAAACCCGGUGAUCUAGCCAUGGGCAGGUUGAAGGUUGGGUAACACUAACUGGAGGACCGAACCGACUAAUGUUGAAAAAUUAGCGGAUGACUUGUGGCUGGGGGUGAAAGGCCAAUCAAACCGGGAGAUAGCUGGUUCUCCCCGAAAGCUAUUUAGGUAGCGCCUCGUGAAUUCAUCUCCGGGGGUAGAGCACUGUUUCGGCAAGGGGGUCAUCCCGACUUACCAACCCGAUGCAAACUGCGAAUACCGGAGAAUGUUAUCACGGGAGACACACGGCGGGUGCUAACGUCCGUCGUGAAGAGGGAAACAACCCAGACCGCCAGCUAAGGUCCCAAAGUCAUGGUUAAGUGGGAAACGAUGUGGGAAGGCCCAGACAGCCAGGAUGUUGGCUUAGAAGCAGCCAUCAUUUAAAGAAAGCGUAAUAGCUCACUGGUCGAGUCGGCCUGCGCGGAAGAUG